UUACCAGUCAGGCUCUGGCUAUAUUCCAGGACUCAGCAGAUCCUGGAUAUAGUCAGAGGCUGACUGUACA
Cricetulus griseus (Chinese hamster) is the source of this 70-nucleotide non-coding RNA. The record is from Rfam. NCBI's taxonomy places the organism in Eukaryota, Metazoa, Chordata, Mammalia, Rodentia, Cricetidae.